This is a long non-coding RNA of Heterocephalus glaber (naked mole-rat), 2574 nucleotides long. The record is from Ensembl. Lineage: Eukaryota; Metazoa; Chordata; Mammalia; Rodentia; Bathyergidae.
GGCGCCGCGAGGUUUUAAAGCCCGGGCCCUGCGGCCCGCAGCAAGUGGGGUGAGCGCCGCGUGCGUUUCGGGAGCCGGCCUGCUCCCUUCCCCCUUGGUGGAGGUGAGACAGGUUUCACAUGUAGCCCAUGCUGGCCUAGAACUCAACUGUAUAGCCCAGGCUGGUCUUGAACUCAUGGCGAUUCUCCUGCCUCAGUCUCCAGAGUUGCUGAGAUUACAGAUGGGGAAACUGAGGCUUCUAGGGCAUCUGGGAAACUGCAUUUGGGACUUGAACUCUGGUCUGGUGUUUGGGUGCCAGCCUCUGGCCCCGCCCAGUGCCUCCCACCCUUUGCCAUGGCCGGCUGGGGUUCCUGGGGAUGGGAUUUGCUGUCUCACAAAUCACAUUGCCAGGGAUUUCCAACCGACCCUGAGCUCUGCCUCCGGGCCCACCACUGCCACUGAGGAUGCCUGUCCAUGCCUGGGGACGGGGUGUCGGAGAGGCCCUGCCACCGCCACCACCACUGCUGUAGCCGUCGCCAGGCCUGAGGAGCAGGGCUUAGCUGCUUGUGAGCAGAGUCCGCACCAAGUCGUGUUCACAGUGGCUAAGUUCCGUCCCCUGGGCCCCGCCUCCACCGCCCCACCUUUCUGCUGGUUGCCCAGUUCCCCGGGCUCUGCCUCCCGUGCCUACUGAGCUGAAACACAGUUGAUUUGUGCAGACUGGCUCAGUUCAGCAGGAACAGGGGUCAAGCCCCCUGGAGCCUGGAGCGCACAGCCUGGCUGUCCUGACACGGCGACCAGACAGGCGCAGAUGUGUCUGAAGGAGGGGACACGGGAGGACGGGGUGAGAGGGCUGGCCUGGGUCUAGGCAUCUGCUGCAGGCCACCUCUCUUUUUUGUUUUUUGAUACCAUGGAUGGAACUCGGGUCCUUGCACUUUCGCAGCAGGCAGUGAAACCACUGAGCUAAAUCCCCAGCCCAAGGCCACCUCUCUUGGUCUGCACAGAGGGACCCUGUUGUCCCAACAUGGCCAUACCUCGAACAGGCUGAGCCGUUGUCCCAGGGUAGACAGGACAGAGGGUCCUUCCUUAAGCCAGCUGUGCUUCUCUGGGCCUAGCACCUCAGCUCCUCCCUGUUUUGAUUCGUGAGAUUGAGUCUCCCUGUGUAAUCCAGGCUGGCUUUGAAUUAUGUAGCCAGGCAGUCCUCCUGCCUCAGCUUCCUGAGUGCUGGGAUGACAUGUGUGUGUCACCAUGCCUGGCCCUGCCCCUCCUGUCCUAAGCCUAGCGGGGAGUGCUGAACCUUCCCAGCUGCCUGUUACCCAAGAGGAAGCUGCCUUAGGCCCCCUGACCGUUAAGUGCCAACUCACAGCUUCUGGAACUAGCUGGCCCGACUUGGCCGAGUGAGUGUGCCUGGGCCCCUCUCCCUGGCCCUGAGGGUUCUUAAUGACACCCACUCCACGUGGGGUAGGGAACAGUUCCAUGCGGCCCCAAGAGGGACAUGAUCAGGCCUCCCCUGUCCUGGGGUUGAGGUCAUCCUGUCCUGCUCUCCUUGGUGGUCCUGGGCUUGGAAGAGGUGAAUUGUGCCACUGUCCCCAAGUCAGAUGGGAGGAAGCUCUUUGGGCCUGGAGGGAGGGUCCAGUGAAAUGCCCAGACUGUCAGGGCUGGCCUGGUGUUGCCCAGGUAGGGGCAGACAGGAGCUUGGGUGGAGGGAGGGCAGCAUUUGUAUUGUGCCCCGCAUGUGAUGCCCAGUGAAAUAAAAGUUGUCCCAGCUUCACUCCUGAGGCUCUGAUGGUCCGUGAUUUGCUCCUGUCUCUGUCCUUACAGUUACAGCUUUUUAUUCUUUCCGAUGCUGGGGGUGGAACUCCGGCCUCGUGCGGGCUGGACCAGCGCUCACCACCGAGUUACCUUGCCGGCUACACAUGCAGCCUUUGCAUUCUGGAGCAGGGGCUCCAGAUCUCACCGGCUCCCAACCCCCGCUCUGAGGGUGGCGGGAAAAGCCAGACUUGUUUUCCUGUGGACCAAGGGGGGCCCUGAGCUUGGAGAGGUGACUUUGAGGGAUGUCCUGGGGUGACACUAUUGUGGGAGGAACAAAAAUGAGGGUUACUAUGAAUGAUGACUGAGCCAAGAGGGAGGGAAGGGAGCCUGAUCUAGGGAUGGUGGGGGUGGAUUGGGCCUCAGGACAAACUGGACCGGGAGACCACUGGACGUGAGGGUCCUGAGCUAAUGGCAUUUGGGGACCACUGGGACUUAACCUGGGCUGUGGGGAGAGAUCUAGGGUGCCUGCUGUCUUAAGAAUGCUGAAAUUUUUUUCGAGACGGUCUUGAUUGUAGGCUGGCUCGGAGUCUCGGCAAGCCUCCUGCCUCAGCCUCCGGAGUCCCAGGAUGACAGGCGUUGCCACCACGCCCAGCUAGAAGGUGUAUGCGUAAGGCGGAGGAGAUUCCUGGUCCAAGGGGGAGAUAUUCAGGUGGCAGGGGACUAAGUGGCCCCCAGUCGGUAGGGAUACCCGUGGGUAACGGGAGCAGUGAGGGCGCCCGAGCCCCACGAGGGGCACCAAGGCGGACCAACGGCAGAGUGGGAAGCCCGGAUCGUCGCCCCACCCCG